AUGAACGAUCAACAACCAAAUAAUUUACUCCACGCAUUUCGGGCGCAGUCUGCAGUGGGCUACUACGGAGGUGGCCUAUGUGGGCAGCACGAGGUCCCCUCCGAGUUCCGAUCGUGCGUGCAGCAAGAGGCCCCCGGCCCCGACAGCAGCCUCGCGCUCGCGCCUCCGUCGUCCGCGCCCGCCACCCCCGGCCCCGGCCUCGCCGCGGCCACGCCGUGCGCCGCAGCGGCGGCCAACACAAGGACGAGGAGGAGGAGGAGCUUGCUCGCCGAGCAGCUGGACGGUGUGGCACGGGAAGCCAUGGCAACAGCUCGAUCUCUUGUGGGUUUCACCUUUUGA
RNAcentral lists this ribosomal RNA (339 nucleotides) under Triticum aestivum (bread wheat). RNAcentral describes it as "partial small subunit ribosomal RNA". Lineage: Eukaryota; Viridiplantae; Streptophyta; Magnoliopsida; Poales; Poaceae. The record is from RNAcentral.